RNAcentral lists this ribosomal RNA (365 nucleotides) under uncultured Streptococcus sp. Its description in RNAcentral is "bacterial SSU rRNA". It matches the Rfam family "Bacterial small subunit ribosomal RNA", at positions 1017 to 1382 of the family's 1533-position model. Lineage: Bacteria; Bacillati; Bacillota; Bacilli; Lactobacillales; Streptococcaceae. The record is from RNAcentral.
ACUUCGGUACAUCGGUGACAGGUGGUGCAUGGUUGUCGGUCAGCUCGUGUCGUGAGAUGUUGGGUUAAGUCCCGCAACGAGCGCAACCCCUAUUGUUAGUUGCCAUCAUUCAGUUGGGCACUCUAGCGAGACUGCCGGUAAUAAACCGGAGGAAGGUGGGGAUGACGUCAAAUCAUCAUGCCCCUUAUGACCUGGGCUACACACGUGCUACAAUGGUUGGUACAACGAGUUGCGAGUCGGUGACGGCGAGCUAAUCUCUUAAAGCCAAUCUCAGUUCGGAUUGUAGGCUGCAACUCGCCUACAUGAAGUCGGAAUCGCUAGUAAUCGCGGAUCAGCACGCCGCGGUGAAUACGUUCCCGGGCCUU